AACGUACGCUGGCGGCACGCCUAACACAUGCAAGUCGAGCGCGCCUUCGGGUGAGCGGCGGACGGGUUAGUAACGCGUGGGAACGUACCCUUCUCUACGGAAUAGCCUUUGGAAACGAAGAGUAAUACCGUAUACGCCCUUUGGGGGAAAGAUUUAUCGGAGAAGGAUCGGCCCGCGUUAGAUUAGAUAGUUGGUGGGGUAACGGCCUACCAAGUCUACGAUCUAUAGCUGGUUUUAGAGGAUGAUCAGCAACACUGGGACUGAGACACGGCCCAGACUCCUACGGGAGGCAGCAGUGGGGAAUCUUAGACAAUGGGCGCAAGCCUGAUCUAGCCAUGCCGCGUGUGUGAUGAAGGUCUUAGGAUCGUAAAGCACUUUCAAUUGUGAAGAAAUGCACAUGGUUAAUACCCAUGUGAGCUGACGUUAACAAUAGAAGAAGCACCGGCUAACUCUG
This 454-nucleotide ribosomal RNA is filed under the name uncultured Paracoccaceae bacterium. Its description in RNAcentral is "bacterial SSU rRNA". It matches the Rfam family "Bacterial small subunit ribosomal RNA", at positions 29 to 505 of the family's 1533-position model. The record is from RNAcentral. Lineage: Bacteria; Pseudomonadati; Pseudomonadota; Alphaproteobacteria; Rhodobacterales; Paracoccaceae.